CCUACGGGUGGCAGCAGUGGGGAAUAUUUCACAAUGGGGGAAACCCUGAUGCAGCGACGCCGCGUGAGUGAAGAAGUAUUUCGGUAUGUAAAGCUCUAUCAGCAGGAACGAGACAAGACGGUACCUGACUAAGAAGCCCCGGCUAACUACGUGCCAGCAGCCGCGGUAAUACGUAGGGGGCAAGCGUUAUCCGGAUUUAGUGGGUGUAAAGGGAACGUAGACGGCAGUGCAAGUCUGGAGUGAAAGGCGGGGGCUCAACCCCCGGACUGCUCAGGAAACUGUACGGCUGGAGUGCAGGAGAGGUAAGUGGAAUUCCUAGUGUAGCGGUGAAAUGCGUAGAUAUUAGGAGGAACACCAGUGGCGAAGGCGGCUUACUGGACUGUAACUGACGUUGAGGCUCGAAAGCGUGGGGAGCAAACAGGAUUAGAUACCCUGGUAGAC
This 441-nucleotide ribosomal RNA is filed under the name uncultured bacterium. Its description in RNAcentral is "partial 16S ribosomal RNA". It matches the Rfam family "Bacterial small subunit ribosomal RNA", at positions 338 to 795 of the family's 1533-position model. The record is from RNAcentral.